RNAcentral lists this ribosomal RNA (891 nucleotides) under Russula sp. Its description in RNAcentral is "partial large subunit ribosomal RNA". It matches the Rfam family "Eukaryotic large subunit ribosomal RNA", at positions 73 to 941 of the family's 3401-position model. The record is from RNAcentral. Lineage: Eukaryota; Fungi; Basidiomycota; Agaricomycetes; Russulales; Russulaceae.
GAUUCCCCUAGUAACUGCGAGUGAAGCGGGAAAAGCUCAAAUUUAAAAUCUGGUGGCCUUUGUCCAUCCGAGUUGUAAUUUAGAGAAGCGUCUUCCGCGCUGGACCGUGCACAAGUCUCCUGGAACGGAGCGUCAUAGAGGGUGAGAAUCCCGUCUUUGGCACGGACACACCAGGGCUUUUGUGAUGCGCUCUCAAAGAGUCGAGUUGUUUGGGAAUGCAGCUCAAAAUGGGUGGUGAACUCCAUCUAAAGCUAAAUAUUGGCGAGAGACCGAUAGCGAACAAGUACCGUGAGGGAAAGAUGAAAAGCACUUUGGAAAGAGAGUGAAACAGUACGUGAAAUUGUUGAAAGGGAAACGCUUGAAGUCAGUCGCGUCGCCCGAGACUCAGCCUUGCCUCGGCUUGGUGUACUUCUCGGCUGACGGGUCAGCAUCAAUUUUGCCCCUUGGAUAAUGGCGAGGGAAAUGUGACACCUUUACGGGUGUGUUAUAGUCUCUCGUCGCAUGCAAGGGUCGGGAUUGAGGAACUCAGCACGCGCCCUCGGGCGUCGGGGCAACUGCCCACGAUACGUGCUUAGGAUGUUGGCGUAAUGGCUUUAAACGACCCGUCUUGAAACACGGACCAAGGAGUCUAACAUGCCCGCGAGUGUUCGGGUGGAAAACCCGUGCGCGCAAUGAAAGUGAAAGUUGGGACCUCUGUCGUGGAGGGCACCGACGCCCGGACCAGACCUUCUGUGACGGAUCUGCGGUAGAGCGUGUAUGUUAGGACCCGAAAGAUGGUGAACUAUGCCUGAAUAGGGUGAAGCCAGAGGAAACUCUGGUGGAGGCUCGUAGCGAUUCUGACGUGCAAAUCGAUCGUCAAAUUUGGGUAUAGGGGCGAAAGACUAAUCGACC